Molecule: long non-coding RNA, 418 nt
Organism: Alligator mississippiensis (American alligator)
Lineage: Eukaryota; Metazoa; Chordata; Crocodylia; Alligatoridae
Exons: 3
Source: RefSeq, a predicted model, not a curated record
UUUUUUUAACAUGGAAAAAGAAUGUCUACUUCAGCAGUCCUCCAAGGGAAGGAAACCUCACUGGAGGAACAGGAAGGAGUUCUACUGGACAUAAUGCGGUCAGGGAGGUGACUCUCAAGGACUGACUCCACAAUAAGUGUUGGACUAUUAACAUCGAGGAAAUAAGUGAAGACUUGGCAACCCUACUGGUAUCACUUAUAUUAUAUGCCCAUACAAUAGAAGCAUUGCUGAGUAGGGCAGCCUGCUUCUGAAAUAUUCACAGAAUUACAGCCUGCAAAGCUCCUAGAGCCUGCCAACGUGCAUAUACUCAGUCCCACAGAAGCUGGCAAUCCUAGGAUCACACAGAGAUGUCUCCAGAGGAUCAUCACUGGCAUUAAAUGGAAAAUGACUGUUCAUGCAAAAUAUGAAGAUGCGGAAA